GACGAACGCUGGCGGCGUGCUUAACACAUGCAAGUCGAGCGGUAAGGCCCUUUCGGGGGUACGACGAGCGGCGAACGGGUGAGUAACACGUGGGUGACCUGCCCUCAGCUCUGGGAUAAGCCUGGGAAACCGGGUCUAAUACUGGAUAUGACUCCAUGACGCAUGUUGUGGGGUGGAAAGCCUUGUGCGGCUGAGGAUGGGCCCGCGGCCUAUCAGCUUGUUGGUGGGGUGAGGCCUACCAAGGCGACGACGGGUAGCCGGCCUGAGAGGGCGGUCGGCCACACUGACACUGACAUACGGGUCAGACUCCUACGGGAGGCAGCAGUCGGGAAUUUUGGACAAUGGGCGCAAGCCUGAUCCAGCGAUGCCGCGUGUGUGAAGAAGGCCUGCGGGUUGUAAAGCACUUU
Molecule: ribosomal RNA, 407 nt
Filed under: uncultured bacterium
Lineage: Bacteria
Description: bacterial SSU rRNA
Rfam family: Bacterial small subunit ribosomal RNA
Source: RNAcentral